Molecule: unclassified non-coding RNA, 418 nt
Filed under: fungal sp.
Lineage: Eukaryota; Fungi
Description: partial internal transcribed spacer region
Rfam family: Eukaryotic small subunit ribosomal RNA (bases 1-46)
Source: RNAcentral
AAGUCGUAACAAGGUUUCCGUAGGUGAACCUGCGGAAGGAUCAUUAACACGUGUUUAUUCACGUACAACGAAAGUGAACUGUACCUUUGUCCUAUUGUCGUUUAAUGAGUGGGUGCGGGAGAAUGGUGCGAGGGUUGACUGGCUGUGUUACGCACAGUUGGUUGGCUCUCUUACUCGUGCCCUAUGGUCCUUGAGGCCAAGCUUGUGGCGGCAGUAGUAGAUUAGUUCUGAACUGUGAUCCAGCGCCUGGGCUUCACAGUUCGGAAUGCCUUCAUUUUAUUACCCAUCACCUUUUUUAUCUGAUCUAAUUCUUUUUGGCAUUAGAUGAUCUCCUGGUCGCAAGACUGGUCGACGGCUGUCUAAUGUCAGAACACACAAAAAUACGAAACAACUCUUAGCAACGGAUAUCUUGGUUCUC